RNAcentral lists this ribosomal RNA (438 nucleotides) under uncultured bacterium. Its description in RNAcentral is "bacterial SSU rRNA". It matches the Rfam family "Bacterial small subunit ribosomal RNA", at positions 355 to 796 of the family's 1533-position model. The record is from RNAcentral.
UGGGGAAUCUUGCGCAAUGGGCGAAAGCCUGACGCAGCGACGCCGCGUGGGGGAUGAAGCUUCUCGGAGUGUAAACCCCUUUCGACCCGGACGAAUCACCCGCAAGGGUAUUGACGGUACGGGUAUAAGAAGCCCCGGCUAACUACGUGCCAGCAGCCGCGGUAAGACGUAGGGGGCCAGCGUUGCUCGGAAUUACUGGGCGUAAAGGGUUCGUAGGCGGUGCGGCAAGUCGGGAGUGAAAUCUCUGGGCUUAACCCAGAGGCUGCUUCCGAAACUGCCGUGCUAGAGUGCGGGAGAGGCGAGUGGAAUUACAGGUGUAGCGGUGAAAUGCGUAGAUAUCUGUAGGAACACCCGUGGCGAAGGCGGCUCGCUGGACCGCAACUGACGCUGAGGAACGAAAGCUAGGGGAGCAAACAGGAUUAGAUACCCCCGUAGUCC